AGACCCGAAACCCGGUGAUCUAGCCAUGGGCAGGUUGAAGGUUGGGUAACACUAACUGGAGGACCGAACCGACUAAUGUUGAAAAAUUAGCGGAUGACCUGUGGCUGGGGGUGAAAGGCCAAUCAAACCGGGAGAUAGCUGGUUCUCCCCGAAAGCUAUUUAGGUAGCGCCUCGUGAAUUCAUCUCCGGGGGUAGAGCACUGUUUCGGCUAGGGGGCCAUCCCGGCUUACCAACCCGAUGCAAACUGCGAAUACCGGAGAAUGUUAUCACGGGAGACACACGGCGGGUGCUAACGUCCGUCGUGAAGAGGGAAACAACCCAGACCGCCAGCUAAGGUCCCAAAGUCAUGGUUAAGUGGGAAACGAUGUGGGAAGGCCCAGACAGCCAGGAUGUUGGCUUAGAAGCAGCCAUCAUUUAAAGAAAGCGUAAUAGCUCACUGGUCGAGUCGGCCUGCGCGGAAGAUGUAACGGGGCUAAACCAUGCACCGAAGCUGCGGCAGCGAACGUAUCACCCAAGACAACUUUACGGAGUUGACGAUUGACGGAGCGAAGCGACGUCAAAGCGUUCAUUAAAGUCGAGUUGGCUUAGGGAUACGUUCGUUGGGUAGGGGAGCGUUCUGUAAGCCUGUGAAGGUGUGUCGUGAGGCAUGCUGGAGGUAUCAGAAGUGCGAAUGCUGACAUAAGUAACGAUAAAGCGGGUGAAAAGCCCGCUCGCCGGAAGACCAAGGGUUCCUGUCCAACGUUAAUCGGGGCAGGGUGAGUCGACCCCUAAGGCGAGGCCGAAAGGCGUAGUCGAUGGGAAACGGGUUAAUAUUCCCGUACUUGGUGUUACUGCGAAGGGGGGACGGAGAAGGCUAUGUUGGCCGGGCGACGGUUGUCCCGGUUUAAGCGUGUAGGUGUGUGUUCCAGGUAAAUCCGGUUCACUUUAACACUGAGGCGUGACGACGAGGCACUACGGUGCUGAAGCAACAAAUGCCCUGCUUCCAGGAAAAGCCUCUAAGCAUCAGGUAACACGAAAUCGUACCCCAAACCGACACAGGUGGUCAGGUA
This 1049-nucleotide ribosomal RNA is filed under the name Salmonella enterica subsp. enterica serovar Typhimurium. Its description in RNAcentral is "partial 23S ribosomal RNA". It matches the Rfam family "Bacterial large subunit ribosomal RNA", at positions 711 to 1673 of the family's 2925-position model. Lineage: Bacteria; Pseudomonadati; Pseudomonadota; Gammaproteobacteria; Enterobacterales; Enterobacteriaceae. The record is from RNAcentral.